GCGCCUGUGGCGGAACUGGUAGACGCGCGAGGUUGAGGGCCUCGUGGGGCGAGAGCCCCGUGGGAGUUCGAAUCUCCCCGGGCGCA
RNAcentral lists this transfer RNA (86 nucleotides) under Thermoleophilum album. RNAcentral's name for it is "tRNA-Leu". It matches the Rfam family "tRNA". From Rfam's summary of the family: Transfer RNA (tRNA) molecules are approximately 80 nucleotides in length. Their secondary structure includes four short double-helical elements and three loops (D, anti-codon, and T loops). Lineage: Bacteria; Bacillati; Actinomycetota; Thermoleophilia; Thermoleophilales; Thermoleophilaceae. RNAcentral also lists the same sequence under 2 other names. The record is from RNAcentral.